AGUAAAUAGAUACCCAGGUAGUCCACGCCCUAAACGAUGUCUACUAGUUGUUGGUGGAGUAAAAUCCAUUAGUAAACGCAGCUAAACGCGUGAAGUAGACCGCCUGGGGAGUACGGUCGCAAGAUCAAAACUCAAAGGAAUUGACGGGGGCCCGCACAAGCGGUGGAUUAUGUGGAUUAAAUUCGAUGCAACGCGAAAAACCUUACCUGGCCUUGACAUGCCACUAACGAAGCAGAGAUGCAUUAGGUGCCCGAAAGGGAAAGUGGACACAGGUGCUGCAUGGCUGUCGUCAGCUCGUGUCGUGAGAUGUUGGGUUAAGUCCCGCAACGAGCGCAACCCUUGCCAAUAAUUGCCAUCAUUCAGUUGGGCACUUUAUUGGGACUGCCGGUGACAAACCGGAGGAAGGUGGGGAUGACGUCAAGUCCUCAUGGCCCUUAUGGCCAGGGCUUCACAC
Molecule: ribosomal RNA, 454 nt
Filed under: uncultured bacterium
Lineage: Bacteria
Description: bacterial SSU rRNA
Rfam family: Bacterial small subunit ribosomal RNA
Source: RNAcentral